Molecule: ribosomal RNA, 988 nt
Filed under: Segatella copri
Lineage: Bacteria; Pseudomonadati; Bacteroidota; Bacteroidia; Bacteroidales; Prevotellaceae
Description: partial 23S ribosomal RNA
Rfam family: Bacterial large subunit ribosomal RNA
Source: RNAcentral
AAUGAUUCCCCCAGUAGUGGCGAGCGAACGGGGAACAGCCCAAACCAGUGGCGUCGCAAGGCGUGGCUGGGGUUGUAGGACCGCGACAUUGUAUUGAAAUGGUGAGUGGAAGUAUCUGGAAAGUUACAUCACAGAAGGUGAUAAUCCUGUACACGAAGCCAAAUCAAGCAUAGCGGUAUCCUGAGUAACGCGGGACACGAGGAAUCCUGCGCGAAUCUGCCGGGACCAUCCGGUAAGGCUAAAUACUCCCGUGAGACCGAUAGCGAACGAGUACUGUGAAGGAAAGGUGAAAAGAACCCCGAGCAGGGGAGUGAAAUAGUUCCUGAAACCAUGCGCCUACAAGCGGUCGGAGCAUCUUACGAUGUGACGGCGUGCCUUUUGCAUAAUGAUCCUACGAGUUACCGUCACUGGCGAGGUUGAGUGUCACGAGACACGUAGCCGCAGUGAAAGCGAGCCUGAACAGGGCGCACAGUCAGUGGGGGUAGACGCGAAACCAAGUGAUCUACACUUGGCCAGGAUGAAGUCCCGGUAACACGGGAUGGAGGUCCGCACCAAUAAGCGUUGAAAAGCUUCUGGAUGAGCCGAGUGUAGGAGUGAAAGGCCAAUCAAACUUGGAGAUAGCUCGUACUCCCCGAAAGGCAUUUAGGUGCCGCGUCGGAUGGUCACCGUGAGAGGUAGAGCGACCGAUAGGACAAGAGGGCUUCACCGCCUAUCGAGUCCUGACGAACUCCGAAUGCUCACGGUCUGCAGUCCGGCAGUAAGGGGGCGGGUGCUAAGGUCCGUCCCCGAGAGGAGAAGAAUCCAGACCGCCGUCUAAGGUCCCGGAGUUCUGCCUGAGUUAGUCUAACGAAGUCUGGUCCCUAUGACAGCUAGGAUGUUGGCUUGGAAGCAGCCAUUCAUUCAAAGAGUGCGUAACAGCUCACUAGUCGAGGGUCCGGGCAUGGAUAAUAAUCGGGUAUAAGGCAGACACCGAAGGCGCGGGAUAGCA